AUUGAACGCUGGCGGCAGGCCUAACACAUGCAAGUCGAACGAGUGGCGGACGGGUGAGUAAUGUCUGGGAAACUGCCUGAUGGAGGGGGAUCACUACUGGAAACGGUAGCUAAUCCCGCAUACCAUCAGAUGUGCCCAGAUGGGAUUAGCUUGUUGUCGGGGUAACGGCGCACCAAGGCGACGAUCCCUAGCGGGUCUGAGAGGAUGAACAGCCACACUGUAACGGAGACACGGUCCAGACUCCUACGGGAGGCAGCAGGGGGGAAUAUGGCACAAUGGGCGCAAGCCUGAUGCAGCCAUGCCGCGUGUAUGAAGAAGGCCUUCGGGUUGUAAAGUACUUUCAGCGGGGAGGCGUUACCCGCAGAAGAAGCACCGGCUAACUCCGUGCCAGCAGCCGCGGUAAUUC
This 406-nucleotide ribosomal RNA is filed under the name uncultured bacterium. RNAcentral's name for it is "partial 16S ribosomal RNA". It matches the Rfam family "Bacterial small subunit ribosomal RNA", at positions 30 to 526 of the family's 1533-position model. The record is from RNAcentral.